This 217-nucleotide ribosomal RNA is filed under the name uncultured bacterium. RNAcentral's name for it is "partial 16S ribosomal RNA". It matches the Rfam family "Bacterial small subunit ribosomal RNA", at positions 118 to 339 of the family's 1533-position model. The record is from RNAcentral.
UGGGCAACUUGCCCCUAGCUCCGGAAUAACCCGGGAAACCGAGGACUAAUACCGGAUACGACCCUGCGCGGCAUCUCGCGGGUGGAAAGUUUUCGGCUAGGGAUGGGCCCGCGGCCUAUCAGCUUGUUGGUGGGGUAAUGGCCUACCAAGGCGACAACGGGUAGCCGGCCUGAGAGGGUGACCGGUCACACUGGGACUGAGACACGGCCCAGACUCC